RNAcentral lists this ribosomal RNA (465 nucleotides) under Vreelandella stevensii. RNAcentral's name for it is "partial 16S ribosomal RNA". It matches the Rfam family "Bacterial small subunit ribosomal RNA", at positions 338 to 795 of the family's 1533-position model. Lineage: Bacteria; Pseudomonadati; Pseudomonadota; Gammaproteobacteria; Oceanospirillales; Halomonadaceae. The record is from RNAcentral.
CCUACGGGAGGCUGCAGUGGGGAAUAUUGGACAAUGGGGGGAACCCUGAUCCAGCCAUGCCGCGUGUGUGAAGAAGGCCCUCGGGUUGUAAAGCACUUUCAGUGAGGAAGAACGCCUGGUGGUUAAUACCCAUCAGGAAAGACAUCACUCACAGAAGAAGCACCGGCUAACUCCGUGCCCGCAGCCGCGGUAAUACGGAGGGUGCGAGCGUUAAUCGGAAUUACUGGGCGUAAAGCGCGCGUAGGUGGCUUGAUAAGCCGGUUGUGAAAGCCCCGGGCUCAACCUGGGAACGGCAUCCGGAACUGUCAAGCUUGAGUGCAGGAGAGGAAGGUAGAAUUCCCGGUGUAGCGGUGAAAUGCGUAGAGAUCGGGAGGAAUACCAGUGGCGAAGGCGGCCUUCUGGACUGACACUGACACUGAGGUGCGAAAGCGUGGGUAGCAAACAGGAUUAGAUACCCCAGUAGUC